GGGGGGUAUACCAGGACCAUUCGCUGAGCUCGAUCAGUUUAGCUCAACGCUGAUUGGCACAUUCUUUGUACUUAUUUUUUUGUCAAGGGAGUCCAGAUGCUCGCUGGCUUCCCUUGACUUUUAAUGCUAUGGGCGGCAACAAUGUCAUACUCGUUUGGACCAGACCGCAUCAGAUGGCCCACACUUAGAGACAGAGGGGUGCUGUUUUGCUCACUCUGAUGCUUUCACCUGUGAGAUACAUUGUCAAUUGCGAAUUGAAAAUUAUGAAACAGAGACGAAAGAUUCCUUCCAGUCAACGUUUAGUCUGAACCUGGCCUCUAUCCUUUACACAGUGAUGAUAGUGAAGAGCAUGGUGUACUGCUGUGGGCUCUCUAUCCUGCUGCACCACAGGAGCUUGGGAAGAGGACCCAGCACCUGUAGACACAUUUAUUGAAAGGAUACCCCCCCCCCAUUUAUGGAUAGAGUUGUAGUGGGCUGGGAGUAACAUGGAUUUUACAUGCCAUUGAGGUCUAACAUUUCAUUUGUAUUGCUUUUAUUUUUCCUGCUUUAUUUUUUAGAUGCUACAAUAUUGUGAGCCAUAGAUUUCCAUGUCUUCUAAUAGCUUCAACUGCCAAAUAUGACAAUUGCAGCACAUUUAAUUGUGUAUAUGGAGUAUUGUUUCCCUCCUUAUGUGGGAGCUACCCACUGCAGACACAUGAAUAAAGAUUAAGUUAAGGUUUUCUGAAAAAUAAGCAGAGCAAAUCUUGAAUGUAAAUACAUUAUGAUUUUAAUUUAGACUUGUUUUGUUAGUUGCCCUGCAAUAUGUCAUAGAGGUAGGCCUAAAUUAUACUCACAACCUGUAUUUAAUUUAUACAAAAUAUGUCAUUAUUAAAUAUGUAGGCCCAUGAGUUCUAAAUCAUUAUCCAAUAUAAUAUUUAGUAACUUGUCUUGAAGUGUAAUUUUUCUCAAGAAAUUACUUUGUUUCACAUCUCAAUAAAUGAAUAAGAGAAUCAAUUUUUGCUUUAAAUUCUAAAUGCUGAGUGCUUAUUGAGCAUAAAAAUUGGGCUAUGCGCAAAAUAAUUUAUUGGUGCUUUUGUACAUUAAUACAAUGUUUUUUUAUACAGCUUUUAUGAAGAGUAACACAGCCUGCUCAAAUGAACCAAGUUGCUCAAAAUAAUAAUAUCCUUUCAGAUGAGGAUGGAUUUAAUAAACGCAGCCUUUGUGAACGAAAAGUUACAACAAUGGUUCUGCAAAUGAUUGUAAAUAACUUUUUUACAGUUCCUUGCUAACCCCCCCCCCAAAAAAAACAUUGCAUUUCUUUACUAUAAGAUCAUCUAUUCAUAUUUGUGAAUGUUAUUUGAUUAAAUCUCAUCAGCAGCAGAACAAUAAAAUUGUAAGAUCCCCCAUUCUCUGUUUUCAACUUGUUUGCUUCAAUGUGCAUGUUCCAACACAGAUGUUGAGCCUAGACUCAAUAGUGGUGGGAAAAUGUGGUUAAUUUAUAUUUGGUUUUCUAAAGAAAUGUGAAACGGUACUUACUGGAAACAAGAUAUAGCUAGCUGCAUAACCACAGCUCGAGCGUGUGAUGAGUUGGUUAUCCAAAGCUGCUGGAUGAUUAGUUUUUAUCUUGAACCGUUUUCUGCUCUAUUUGUGGGUUCGGCUCCUGCCAUCAAAUUGAAGAAUAUGACAGCGAUGGCAGACAAAACGAGUCCAUAAUGGUAGCUUAUGGUUCUUUCAUUUGUAGAAUUAUAGCCCUAUGACAAAACAAGCUCUUACUUCUGUUUGUGUACUUUUUACCUUGAAACAAUCAAAUUAAAUGAAAUCAGAGUUGA
RNAcentral lists this long non-coding RNA (1808 nucleotides) under Salmo salar (Atlantic salmon). Its description in RNAcentral is "lncRNA (ENSSSAG00000111684.1)". Lineage: Eukaryota; Metazoa; Chordata; Actinopteri; Salmoniformes; Salmonidae. The record is from RNAcentral.